GACGAACGCUGGCGGCGUGCUUAACACAUGCAAGUCGAACGGAAAGGCCCUGCUUUUGUGGGGUGCUCGAGUGGCGAACGGGUGAGUAACACGUGAGUAACCUGCCCUUGACUUUGGGAUAACUUAGGGAAACUGGGGCUAUUACCGGAUAGGAGCUCCUGCUGCAUGGGGGGGGUUGGAAGGUUUCGGCGGUUGGGGAUGGACUCGCGGCUUAUCAGCUUGUUGGUGGGGUAGUGGCUUACCAAGGCUUUGACGGGUAGCCGGCCUGAGAGGGUGACCGGCCACAUUGGGACUGAGAUACGGCCCAGACUCCUACGGGAGGCAGCAGUGGGGAAUAUUGCACAAUGGGCGGAAGCCUGAUGCAGCAACGCCGCGUGCGGGAUGACGGCCUUCGGGUUGUAAACCGCUUUCGCCUGUGACGAAGCGUGAGUGACGGUAAUGGGUAAAGAAGCACCGGCUAACUACGUG
Molecule: ribosomal RNA, 468 nt
Filed under: uncultured bacterium
Lineage: Bacteria
Description: partial 16S ribosomal RNA
Rfam family: Bacterial small subunit ribosomal RNA
Source: RNAcentral